RNAcentral lists this ribosomal RNA (261 nucleotides) under uncultured bacterium. Its description in RNAcentral is "partial 16S ribosomal RNA". It matches the Rfam family "Bacterial small subunit ribosomal RNA", at positions 28 to 271 of the family's 1533-position model. The record is from RNAcentral.
GACGAACGCUGGCGGCAUGCCUAAUACAUGCAAGUCGAGCGGACUUGAAGAGAAGCUUGCUUCUCUGAUAGUUAGCGGCGGACGGGUGAGUAACACGUAGGCAACCUGCCCUCAAGCUUGGGACAACUACCGGGAAACGGUAGCUAAUACCGAAUAGUUUGUUUUCUUCUCCUGAAGAGAACUGGAAAGACGGAGCAAUCUGUCACGUUGGGGAUGGGCCUGCGGCGCAUUAGCUAGUUGGGUGGGGUAACGGCUCACCAA